Molecule: ribosomal RNA, 466 nt
Filed under: uncultured bacterium
Lineage: Bacteria
Description: bacterial SSU rRNA
Rfam family: Bacterial small subunit ribosomal RNA
Source: RNAcentral
GUCCAGACUCCUACGGGAGGCAGCAGUGAGGAAUAUUGGUCAAUGGACGCAAGUCUGAACCAGCCAAGUAGCGUGCAGGAUGACGGCCCUCCGGGUUGUAAACUGCUUUUAGUUGGGAAUAAAAGGGGGCUCGUGAGCCCCGUAUUGUAUGUACCAUCAGAAAAAGGACCGGCUAAUUCCGUGCCAGCAGCCGCGGUAAUACGGAGGAUGCGAGCGUUAUCCGGAUUUAUUGGGUUUAAAGGGUGCGUAGGCGGACGCUUAAGUCAGCGGUAAAAUGGCGGGCCUCAACCUCGUCGAGCCGUUGAAACUGGGUGCCUUGAGUGGCGAGAAGUACGCGGAAUGCGUGGUGUAGCGGUGAAAUGCAUAGAUAUCACGCAGAACUCCGAUUGCGAAGGCAGCGUACCGGCGCCCAACUGACGCUGAAGCACGAAGGCGUGGGUAUCGAACAGGAUUAGAUACCCGAGUA